ACUGCUCAGUAACACGUGGACAACCUGCCCUGAGGACUGGAAUAAUCCCGGGAAACUGGGAGUAAUUCCAGAUAUGCCAGGGAACCUGGAAUGGUUUCUGGCAGAAAUGCUCCGGCGCCUCAGGAUGGGUCUGCGGCCUAUCAGGGUAGUAGUGGGUGUAACGUACCCACUAGCCUACGACGGGUACGGGUUGUGAGAGCAAGAGCCCGGAGAUGGAUUCUGAGACAUGAAUCCAGGCCCUACGGGGUGUAGCAGGCGCGAAAACUUUACAAUGCGGGCAACCGCGAUAAGGGGACCUCGAGUGCUGGGUUACAAACCUGGCUGUUGGGCUGCCUAAAAAGCAGUCUAUAGCAAGGGCCGGGCAAGACCGGUGCCAGCCGCCGCGGUAACACCGGCGGCUCGAGUGGUAACCGCUGUUAUUGGGUCUAAAGGGUCUGUAGCCUGCCGGCUAAGUCUCUUGGGAAAUCUGGCAUCUCGAGUGUCAGGCUGCCAGGGGAUACUGGUCAGCUUGGGACCGGGAGAGGUGAGAGGUACCUCAGGGGUAGGGGUGAAAUCUUGUAAUCCUUGAGGGACCACCAGUGGCGAAGGCGUCUCACCAGAACGGAUCCGACGGCAAGGGACGAAAGCUAGGGGCACGAACCGGAUUAGAUACCCGGGUAGUCCUAGCCGUAAACGAUACUCGCUAGGUGUCGGCCACGGUGCGACCGUGGUCGGUGCCGUAGGGAAGCCGUGAAGCGAGCCACCUGGGAAGUACGGCCGCAAGGCUGAAACUUAAAGGAAUUGGCGGGGGAGCAC
This 795-nucleotide ribosomal RNA is filed under the name uncultured Methanosaeta sp. RNAcentral describes it as "bacterial SSU rRNA". It matches the Rfam family "Archaeal small subunit ribosomal RNA", at positions 85 to 879 of the family's 1478-position model. The record is from RNAcentral. Lineage: Archaea; Methanobacteriati; Methanobacteriota; Methanomicrobia; Methanotrichales; Methanotrichaceae.